RNAcentral lists this ribosomal RNA (260 nucleotides) under uncultured bacterium. RNAcentral's name for it is "partial 16S ribosomal RNA". It matches the Rfam family "Bacterial small subunit ribosomal RNA", at positions 94 to 354 of the family's 1533-position model. The record is from RNAcentral.
AGUGGCGGACGGGUGAGUAACGCGUGGGUAACCUGCCCCAUACAGGGGGAUAACAGAUAGAAAUGUCUGCUAAUACCGCAUAAGACCACAGCGCCGCAUGGCGCAGGGGUAAAAACUCCGGUGGUAUGGGAUGGACCCGCGUCUGAUUAGCUAGUUGGUGGGGUAAAGGCCCACCAAGGCGACGAUCAGUAGCCGACCUGAGAGGGUGACCGGCCACAUUGGGACUGAGACACGGCCCAAACUCCUACGGAAGGCAGCAG